Molecule: ribosomal RNA, 458 nt
Filed under: uncultured bacterium
Lineage: Bacteria
Description: bacterial SSU rRNA
Rfam family: Bacterial small subunit ribosomal RNA
Source: RNAcentral
UUACGGGAGGCAGCAGUGGGGAAUUUUGCGCAAUGGGGGAAACCCUGACGCAGCGAUGCCGCGUGGAGGACGAAGGUCUUCGGAUUGUAAACUCCUUUUACGGGGGAAAAAUACCUGCGUGAAUAACGCAGGUUGAUGGUACUCCGUGAAUAAGCCACGGCUAACUUCGUGCCAGCAGCCGCGGUAAGACGAAGGUGGCAAGCGUUACUCGGAAUUACUAGGCGUAAAGCGUGGGUAGGUGGUUCGGCAAGUCUGUUGUGGAAGCUCCUGGCUCAACCGGGAGAGGCCAAUGGAUACUACCGAGCUUGAAUGUGGGAGAGGUCACUGGAAUUCCUGGUGUAGCGGUGAAAUGCGUAGAGAUCAGGAGGAACACCAAUGGCGAAAGCAGGUGACUGGACCACUAUUGACACUGAGCCACGAAAGCUAGGGGAGCAAACAGGAUUAGAUACCCUGGUAGU